CCCACCCAAUAAUAUAAAGAGAAAAAACUUCAAAUAUCACCCCUAUAAUUUCGCACUUUCAAUUUAGUACCUGUAGUUUUACUUUUUUAUUUUUAUUAUUCAUUCCACUAUUUUUUUUUUUCGUUAAAUCAAUAACAACGUUAAAACUAAAGAAUACUAAAGUGAAUAUUCGAUAAACCUAGGUGGGUAUCUGAAGUUUUUUAUAUAUAAUUUAACGAAAUAUUAACGGAGAAGCUGAGGAAAAGGGAAAAAUGAAAUCACAAGGUAUUAACUUGAUACACUAUAAACCACAAGAUACUAAAGUUAGAAAGUGCAAAACCACGGGGUGGUAUUUGAAGUUUACCCAUAUAAAAAUAAACACAAAAGAUUUAUAUUAAAUAUCCAUGCACCAAGUGCGUGGACCAAACCAAUAAAAAAUAAAGGCAAUAUCUCUUAACAUAUUCAUGAUGCUUUAAAGUAGUAAAAUGUUGUGUGUAUUCAAAUUUUUUAAAAAAUGUAUAUAAUUUAUCUGAAUUAUAGAUAAUUUUAAGUGAGAAUUUAUUUUAACUAUAUAUCAUGGAUUAUCCAAUCUUUUAAUUUAUUUGAUUUGAGUCAGCCAACGAUACUUUGACAUCAAAUUUAAAUGUGUUGUUCAUUAUAACGGAUUAAGUUGGUACACUUCAUAUAAUUCUCGUGACGAUAAAUUCAUUAAAGUAAGCAAUUAGUUUAAAUUUUGAAUUCAAAUAUUGUUGACCGUCUCAAAUCAAACAAAUUAAUAGAUUAGAUAGUAAAAUAAAAAAAUUUUAAAAAUUGAAUAGCCAAUUUAAAAUGAUGGAUAGUUCAUAUAAGUUUUGUACUUUUUUUAUCUAAAUGUUUUAAAGAAAAUUUAUUUAGGCUAAAAUAUAAAAAAUCUCUUUAUAAAUACCUACUUUUUAAUUUUUUUUCUUGAUUUUCAAAAACUUAUAUUUUAUCAAAAUUUCAAGUUGAUGCAUUUAACCUCUUCCAUUAGGGUUUGACUACUAUUUCGUUAAUUUCUUAUAAUUUAUACCAAAAAUAUCCUAAAAAAUAUAUUAAAAAUAAAUUUUUUCUUAUAGAAAAAAUAAGAAUAAUCUGGUCAUCUUUUUUUCUUUAUAACCACAGUAACCUGUUCAAAAUAUUUU
RNAcentral lists this long non-coding RNA (1139 nucleotides) under Ananas comosus (pineapple). RNAcentral's name for it is "long non-coding RNA (ACOM_LNC020194)". Lineage: Eukaryota; Viridiplantae; Streptophyta; Magnoliopsida; Poales; Bromeliaceae. The record is from RNAcentral.